This 777-nucleotide ribosomal RNA is filed under the name human gut metagenome. RNAcentral describes it as "bacterial SSU rRNA". It matches the Rfam family "Bacterial small subunit ribosomal RNA", at positions 109 to 900 of the family's 1533-position model. The record is from RNAcentral.
AGUAACGCGUGAGCAACCUGCCUUUCAGAGGGGGAUAACAUUUGGAAACAGAUGCUAAUACCGCAUAAGAUUACAGUACCGCAUGAUACAGUGAUCAAAGGAGCAAUCCGCUGAAAGAUGGGCUCGCGUCCGAUUAGAUAGUUGGUGAGGUAACGGCUCACCAAGUCGACGAUCGGUAGCCGGACUGAGAGGUUGAACGGCCACAUUGGGACUGAGACACGGCCCAGACUCCUACGGGAGGCAGCAGUGGGGAAUAUUGCACAAUGGGCGAAAGCCUGAUGCAGCAACGCCGCGUGAGGGAAGACGGUUUUCGGAUUGUAAACCUCUGUUUUCGGUGACGAACAAAUGACGGUAACCGAGUAGGAAGCCACGGCUAACUACGUGCCAGCAGCCGCGGUAAUACGUAGGUGGCAAGCGUUAUCCGGAAUUACUGGGUGUAAAGGGAGCGCAGGCGGGAUAGCAAGUCAGCUGUGAAAACUAUGGGCUCAACCCAUAAACUGCAGUUGAAACUGUUAUUCUUGAGUGGAGUAGAGGCAAGCGGAAUUCCGAGUGUAGCGGUGAAAUGCGUAGAUAUUCGGAGGAACACCAGUGGCGAAGGCGGCUUGCUGGGCUCUAACUGACGCUGAGGCUCGAAAGUGUGGGGAGCAAACAGGAUUAGAUACCCUGGUAGUCCACACUGUAAACGAUGAUUGCUAGGUGUGGGGGGUCUGACCCCCUCCGUGCCGGAGUUAACGCAAUAAGCAAUCCACCUGGGGAGUACGGCCGCAAGGUUGAAAC